Molecule: non-coding RNA, 201 nt
Organism: Cinara cedri
Lineage: Eukaryota; Metazoa; Arthropoda; Insecta; Hemiptera; Aphididae
Source: the annotation of a GenBank genome assembly
ACACCCAUAUCCGAUUGUUUUUUUAGUAGUGAAUACAAUAUUAAGUUCAUUAACCUGUACUCAUCAGUGUCCGUUAUUAUAGCCUCUAAUAAUUAUUAUCUUCCAAAUUAUCCUAAUUAUCAAUUGAAAAUCUGCAGUCAUUUGAAAGUCAUGCGUUAAGUGUGUUGAUUUGAACUUUUUUUUUGCGGUGUAUAGUUUUUU